UACGGAGGGGGCCAGCGUUGUUCGGAAUUAUUGGGCGUAAAGGGCGCGUAGGCGGCCGUUCAAGUCGAACGUGAAAUCCCUCGGCUCAACCGGGGAACUGCGUCCGAUACUGUGCGGCUUGAGUCCUGGAGAGGGUAGUGGAAUUCCCAGUGUAGCGGUGAAAUGCGUAGAUACUGGGAGGAACACCGGUGGCGAAGGCGGCUACCUGGACAGGUACUGACGCUGAGGCGCGAAAGCUAGGGGAGCAAACAGG
Molecule: ribosomal RNA, 253 nt
Filed under: uncultured bacterium
Lineage: Bacteria
Description: partial 16S ribosomal RNA
Rfam family: Bacterial small subunit ribosomal RNA
Source: RNAcentral